CUAGGGUCAUUUAGAGGAGUAAAAGUCGUAACAAGGUUUCCGUAGGUGAACCUGCGGAAGGAUCAUUAUCGAAAUUAUUGGUGAGGGUUGUAGCUGGCCUUUCGAGGCAUGUGCACGCUCGAGCCCUUAAUCCACUUUACACCUGUGCACUUAAUGUAGGUCGCCCUUAAAAAAGGUGACCUAUGUCUUAUCAUCAACCCAUCGUAUGUCUCAUAGAAUGUAAUCGAUAUCCUCGCCCUGAAAAAGCGUUGAUAAACUUAUACAACUUUCAACAACGGAUCUCUUGGCUCUCGCAUCGAUGAAGAACGCAGCGAAAUGCGACAAGUAAUGUGAAUUGCAGAUUUUCAGUGAAUCAUCGAAUCUUUGAACGCACCUUGCGCUCCUUGGUAUUCCGAGGAGCAUGCCUGUUUGAGUGUCAUUAAAUUCUCAACUCCAAGGGUUUCACGACCUUUCGGAGAUUGGACUUGGAGGUGCUGGCCGCAUAUUGGUCGGCUCCUCUCAAAUGCAUCAGCGGAAUUCAACCUUUGGCUUCCGGAUGUCAGUGUGAUAAUCAUGUUGCGCUGUCGUUUGAUCCCUCAGAGUCCGCUUAUAAUGGUCUUCGGACAAAAUCAUCAUCAAAUUUGACCUCAAAUCAGGUAGGACUACCCGCUGAACUUAAGCAUAUCAAUAAGCGGAGGA
RNAcentral lists this ribosomal RNA (678 nucleotides) under uncultured fungus. RNAcentral describes it as "eukaryotic LSU rRNA". The stretch from base 264 to 418 matches the Rfam family "5.8S ribosomal RNA". Lineage: Eukaryota; Fungi. The record is from RNAcentral.